AGACUAGCCUGUUCAAAAUGGCCGACGCUUGCAAACGGAAAUGACAUAUAUUUAUGUAAAGUUCAAAAGUGGUCACACUGAUGUCUGGGGAAGAUUCAUCACCGCCACACAAGUACCAAUUGAGAUCAUGAAAUUACUGGUUAAAUGUCAUCAACGUUGGAGGUGGUAGUGUCAAAUCCAAGACUGCUGUCAUAUGCCAGUCCAAUAUUAACGUAAAUGAAUGAGGAUUUUCAAAAGCAUGCAAAUGCACUCCUGUAAUAACCUGAUGUGGGAUUGCAUCGUACUGCAAGGGCAACGGUAAGAGAAGCAGUGAGCGGGUAUCCACGAGAACUAUGCUGCUGGUGGGUCAAACUUCCACACCGUCCAUCCAAAUUCAGAAAGACGGCGCCGCCAGCGAAAGUUAAUGCAGAAUUGAUACAGCAGCCCGCUGUCAAAGAAGUGGUGCUUCAGAGAGACUGCAAAGUGAAAUGAAGAGUGGACUGUUUCAACAAGGCAAGGGCAUAAAGAGCAAAAUCACUGCAGAUAAAACAUUACUUCAAGAGGUCAUCGCUCUAUACAGAGUGUGAAGAACUCAUACCAGCAGUUCAUCCAGCUGUACGUGAAGGUUUUUACACAUCUGUAUGAAUGAGGGAACAGAAGACUGGUCUAACAGAAUAUACACAGGAACUCUGCGGCGUGUGCAAGCUU
Carassius gibelio (silver crucian carp) is the source of this 687-nucleotide long non-coding RNA. RefSeq lists it as uncharacterized. The transcript has 5 exons. The record is from RefSeq and is a predicted model, not a curated record. Lineage: Eukaryota; Metazoa; Chordata; Actinopteri; Cypriniformes; Cyprinidae.